This 63-nucleotide transfer RNA is filed under the name Holothuria spinifera. Its description in RNAcentral is "tRNA-Cys". The record is from RNAcentral. Lineage: Eukaryota; Metazoa; Echinodermata; Holothuroidea; Aspidochirotida; Holothuriidae.
GGUCCUAAGGUGUUACAACAUAUCUGAUUGCAAACCAGAAGUAGCUUGGAAAAGCUAGGACUU